UGCAUGCAGUCGACGAGGUCGCUCCUUCGGGGGCUAAACCUAGUGGCAGACGGCUGAGUAACGCGUGGGUGACCUGCCCCCGAGAACGGGAUAACUGCGGGAAACUGCAGCUAAUACCGUAUACAUUCCCGUGCUUCAAGGCGCGGGAAGAAAUGAUUUAUCGCUCGGGGAUGGGCCCGCGUCCUAUCGGGUAGUUGGUGCGGUAACGGCGUACCAAGCCUUAAACGGGUAUCUGGUGUGAGAGCAUGACCAGACAGAGGGGGACUGAGACACGGCCCCCACUCCUCCGGGAGGCAGCAGCAAGGGAUCGUGCACAAUGGGCGAAAGCCUGAUGCCGCGACGCCGCGUGAGGGAUGACGGCUUUCGAGUUGUAAACCUCUUUUCUCAGGGAAGAGAGAGGACGUCACCUGAGGAAUAAGUCAUGGCUAACUACGUGCCAGCAGCAGCGGUAAUACGUAGGUGGCAAGCGUUGUCCGGAAUUACUGGGCGUAAAGGGUCCGUAGGCGGUUCGGUCAGUCUUCUGUGAAAGCUCCAGGCUCAACUUGGAGUCGUCGGGAGAAACUGCCGAACUAGAGACUGUCAGAGGCAGGUGGAAUUCCCGGUGUAGUGGUGAAAUACGUAGAUAUCGGGAGGAACACCAGUGGCGAAAGCGGCCUGCUGGGGCAGUUCUGACGCUAAGGGACUAAAGCGUGGGGAGCGAACCGGACUAGAUACCCGGGUAGUCCACGCCCUAAACGAUGAAUGCUAGGUCCCCGGGGUGUUAAUUCCCUGUGGGCCAAAGGUAACCCAUUAAGCAUUCCGCCUGGGGACUACGGCCGCAAGGCUAAAACUCAAAGGAAUUGACGGGUCCCCGCACAAGCAGCGGAGCGUGUGGUUUAAUUCGAUGAUAAGCGAAGAACCUUACCUAGGCUUGACAUGUUUGGUGGUACCGAACC
RNAcentral lists this ribosomal RNA (935 nucleotides) under uncultured bacterium. RNAcentral's name for it is "bacterial SSU rRNA". It matches the Rfam family "Bacterial small subunit ribosomal RNA", at positions 52 to 1007 of the family's 1533-position model. The record is from RNAcentral.